ACGCUCGACACCUACGGGAGUCAGCAGUGGGGAAUAUUGCACAAUGGGGGAAACCCUGAUGCAGCGACGCCGCGUGGAGGAAGAAGGUCUUCGGAUUGUAAACUCCUGUUGUUGGGGAAAAAGAGGAUGGUACCCAACAAGGAAGUGACGGCUAACUACGUGUCAGCAGCCGCGGUAAUCUGAGCGGGCUGGCAAGGC
RNAcentral lists this ribosomal RNA (198 nucleotides) under uncultured bacterium. Its description in RNAcentral is "partial 16S ribosomal RNA". It matches the Rfam family "Bacterial small subunit ribosomal RNA", at positions 328 to 539 of the family's 1533-position model. The record is from RNAcentral.